UCUCGUCCCAUUCUCCUCUCCAUGCGGUGUACUCGGCAACCACAGGUUCCGGACCAGACUGGUAGGCGGCGCUAGUGUCGCUGACGUGCUCUGUCUGCGGCUCUGUGCUCCCCUCCUCUGCCCGCUGCUCCUGUUGCUCUACCCAGACCUCACAGCUCCGGCCCGUACCGACAUUGACUCACGACGAGUCUACUGAGUCAUACAGAGUCAUGGGGAGUCAUCCAGAGUCAACGGAUUUCAUGGGAGUGAACAUAGGUGUCGAGGAGUCCUUCGGAGACAUCGAAGUCAUCCAGAGUCUAUAAUAGAGUCCUGGGAGUGAAAAUGAGCUCUGUUAGCGGGUUAAGACGCUGUUUAUACGUAUAUCCCGGCUAGGCCGUCCGUCGCUCGGUGUCCGGCGGUCGGUGCGCCGCGCCGCCCGCCCAUGUGUCACGGCUGGCCGGCUGUGCGGGUGUCUCCUGCCCGCCGGCCCGUGAUCAGUCCGUACCACGAGGGCUGAGAGGGGACGGGCCCCGCGGCGGUCAGCAGCAGCUCAGAGAGGCCUCGGCCGGUCAGCCGACGGUGCGGCGUGUGUUCGACGGGUCCGACGGCGGCCUUACAGACGUGAGAACGGACCCGAGCAGCCGAGCUGAGGGCCAGCUGCCCAUUCUGAUCGGCGUGGCCUACACUUGUCAGACACUGCAGCCUAUACUGAUCUUGAAUACACUGUGUAUAUGUGAA
Molecule: long non-coding RNA, 717 nt
Organism: Amphibalanus amphitrite
Lineage: Eukaryota; Metazoa; Arthropoda; Thecostraca; Balanomorpha; Balanidae
Exons: 2
Source: RefSeq, a predicted model, not a curated record